RNAcentral lists this long non-coding RNA (433 nucleotides) under Mytilus galloprovincialis (Mediterranean mussel). The record is from RNAcentral. Lineage: Eukaryota; Metazoa; Mollusca; Bivalvia; Mytilida; Mytilidae.
UCCCCUAUGUUCUAUAUUUAGCCGUGGCGGCCAUCUUGAUUGGAUGGCCGGGUCACCGGACACAUUUUUUAAACUACAUAACCCAAAGAUGAUUGUGGCCAAGUUUGGAUUAAUUUGGCCCCGUAGUUUCAGAGGAGAAGAUUUUUGUAAAAGAUUACUAAGAUUUACGAAAAAUGGUUAAAAAUUGACUAUAAAGGGCAAUAACUCCUAAAGGGGUCAACUGACCAUUUCGGCCAUGUUGACUUAUUUGUAAAUCUUACUUUGCUGAACAUUAUUGCUGUUUACAGUUUAUCUCUAUCAAUAAUAAUAUUCAAGAUAAUAACCAAAAACAGCAAAAUUUCCAUAAAAUUACCAAUUCAGGGGCAGCAACCCAACAACAGGUUGUCCGAUUCAUCUGAAAAUUUCAGGGCAGAUAGAUGUUGACCUGAUAAAC